This 253-nucleotide ribosomal RNA is filed under the name uncultured bacterium. RNAcentral's name for it is "partial 16S ribosomal RNA". It matches the Rfam family "Bacterial small subunit ribosomal RNA", at positions 524 to 776 of the family's 1533-position model. The record is from RNAcentral.
UACGGGGGGGGCAAGCGUUGUUCGGAAUUACUGGGCGUAAAGGGUGCGUAGGCGGUCGGGUAAGUCUGGCGUGAAAUCUCCAAGCCUAACUUGGAAACUGCGUUGGAUACUAUCCGGCUCGAGGAAUGGAGGGGAGACUGGAAUACUUGGUGUAGCAGUGAAAUGCGUAGAUAUCAAGUGGAACACCAGUGGCGAAGGCGAGUCUCUGGACAUUUCCUGACGCUGAGGCACGAAAGCCAGGGGAGCAAACGGG